UUCCCGCCGCAACCCUGUGAGUGUGGAGUUUGCAUGUUCUCCCUGUGCUGUGGGGGUUUUCUCCCCAGUCCAAAGACAUGUAUUGUAGGCUGAUUGGCGUGUCCAGUCAUGUCCGUAGUGUAUGAAUGGGUGUGUGAGUGUGCCCUGUGAUGGAUUGGCACCCUGUCCAGCAUGUACCCCUCCUUGUGCCCCAUGACCCCUGGGAUAGGCUCCAGGUUCCCACGACCCUGUAGGAUAAGCAGUACAGAAAAUGCAUGGAUGGAAUAAUUGACAGUAAUAGUAAUUCAAUAAAGAGACACUAUUGUGUCGUAUUAAACUCAGUGGGGUGUUGGUUAAUAAUCAGUUUCUUUAUUGGCUGUGAUACAUUCAUUAAUUCAUUGAUCUUUCCUCCAGGGUUUUUUACAGAAGCAGUAACUUGUUCAGCACUGAACGGUGUUCGGAUCCUUUUUCUACUUUGGAUUGCUCUCCACUUGAAAACAUUUGAAUGUAUGAAUUGAUGAUCUCAUGGAUAAGUGGUCUUAUGAGAACUUCUCAGUUAUUGGCAUUAUGUAAAUAUAUAGCUACAAAUCUGAAAGAAUAAUCCAUUUGCAGUUUAAAUUCGCAGUAAACACGUUUUUGAUAUAAUCCUUUAAUAAAUCGUUUUUUAAACUAGUUUUCUUUAUAGAAACUGUGUUAUGUUACAUAGCAGAGCAGGAAAUAAUGACUUUUUGAGUAUCACUGCCAUUACAUUUAAUUGUAAAGUGUUAGAUUUGGCACUUUGUUGGAGGCUGUUUAAUGUGACACUGGAUCAGCUGCAGGUGUGUAUAAAGGUUUGCAUGUCUGAUAAAGUCAUUUAAAUAUUUUUUUUUUUUGGUAUUUUGGUAUCUCUGGAAACACCUGCACCAGGUCAUCAGUGUUUAGGAUUACUUUAGUUAGGCUUUUUGAAACUGGGAAUGAGUUAUAAAUGUGGGAUUUAUGAAACACUGGCCUAAUCAGUACGUACUGUGUCCUCAUUAUAUUUCAGAUUAUCACCGCCAAAUAAUUAACCGCUUGGCAAUUCAACUACAAUAUGCAAUGAUAAGUGUUGUUGUUUAUUUACGUGAGUAUCAAACCAUUACACUAUUACCAUCUGCAAGAUGUUAUUUCAUUCUUGUAUAAAGUAAAAAGAUAAGAAAGUAAAAUGAUUUGAAAAUCAUGUCUUUGGAAAAGAUAAAAAAGAAUUAGUCUCUAUUUUUAUCAUUUCUAAGACACAAAUUAAAGUCAUUGUCAGGAGGUAAUUAUCCGUAUCAGCGUCUUGGUCUAUUAUCUUUUAUCACAUCUUGGAAAAUGAUAUUACUUUGGUUUAACCCCUUGCUUGGGGUAGAGAAGUCAUUUUAAAUGCACAGGUCUGAUUGUGCUUUAUUAAAAGGACGAGACAGAGCUGUUUGAAUGUGACUGCUGUUAUAUAUGUGACUGGAUUAUAAUUGUUCCAGCUCUCCUCCAGUGCAGUUUACUUCAUCUGAGUAAAACUUUAAACUUCAUUAUUAAGGCUUCUUGCUGCAGUUGAUGUGAUAACGUCUACCGCUUGAAUGAUCCCUAUUUUUUUAUAUUAUAUUAUAUUAUUUAUUUCCUUUACAUGUUUUACUGCUGUAUGUCUCUAAGCAAAGUGUUUCAUAUUUUUGUUUACAAAGCACUGUAUGUAUUUGCGUAAUAUAUACUAACAUGAUUUUUUGCUUGUGUUAUUGUCUAGCUCUUGUUGUGGAUGUCUGGUAUAGACUAAACACUGGAGGGAAAGUGGGGCUUCUGAUAUGUCUGCUACUGGGGCCACUUUCUACUUUUCUGUAUAUUCUGUAUGUUACCACUACUGUAUGCCGUGGAAGGACUCUACAAGAAGAAACAAGCUUUAGUUACGAUAUUACAGAACUCAGCAAUUUUCUACGACUAUUUGUUAUUAUAAAUACAUAUGGAUUUCAGUCAGGACUUCUGGCAUUGGCACUAAUUCCAGUUUUUGCACGGAAUUUUUUUGAACAUUGUUUAUAUUAUUUAUCUACAUGUAAGUACAUUAGAUAAUUCUUUAUUUGACUCAUUUUAGAUCAUUUAUUUUUACCAGUCAAACAUUACAUUACAUUUCAUGUAAUAUGUGUUCAUAACUAUAUUA
Ictalurus furcatus (blue catfish) is the source of this 2116-nucleotide long non-coding RNA. RefSeq lists it as uncharacterized. Lineage: Eukaryota; Metazoa; Chordata; Actinopteri; Siluriformes; Ictaluridae. The record is from RefSeq and is a predicted model, not a curated record. The transcript has 3 exons.